UCAGAACAUUCUGCUUGAGUGGACGUCUUAGAGAGUGGGCCAGUAGUUUCCGAAGAAUGUGCGGACUUUCCCUGGAGCUCCAGUUUCCUCCCACAGUCCACAUAUAUGCAGGUCAUCAAUGACAGACAAUUUGAAGAACGUCUAGCGGGACCGGAGAAAAUCGCAUGGAAGGCAUUCAAGAAUGUUGAUGAAAAUUUUCUCGACAACUACAGAGCACCAAGCUACAUGCAGCUGGUUGACAAUAUGCUUCAAGAAUACAAAACCAUGAAGUGCAACAUGCAACUAAAAAUUCAUUUUGUACAUUCCAAUUCAGACUUCUUCCCUGUAAAUAUUGGCAUUGUUAAUGACGAGUAUGUGAAAGGUUUCACCAGGACAUUGAUCAUGGAGAAAUGGUAUCAGGGAAACAGAAAUCCAUCAGUGCUGGCUCAUUAUUGUUCAAUACUUAAGUGAGAAACUUUGGGCACGGAGUACAAAU
This is a long non-coding RNA of Mobula hypostoma (lesser devil ray), 475 nucleotides long. RefSeq lists it as uncharacterized. NCBI's taxonomy places the organism in Eukaryota, Metazoa, Chordata, Chondrichthyes, Myliobatiformes, Myliobatidae. The record is from RefSeq and is a predicted model, not a curated record. The transcript has 3 exons.